Molecule: long non-coding RNA, 703 nt
Organism: Uranotaenia lowii
Lineage: Eukaryota; Metazoa; Arthropoda; Insecta; Diptera; Culicidae
Exons: 3
Source: RefSeq, a predicted model, not a curated record
AACAAACAAGUGUUGUGAUCCGAUCUAACAGGCGGCAAGGUGCAGCGAUACCUAUUUAGGAUGUUUAAUUUUCCGGAAAUUAAGCAUCACCGGAUGCGAAAAAUAAGCUUCCGUCGUAUUCCGUAGGAGGUCCUACUCGGUUAGGUUCAGCUGAGCAGCAACUGUGUGAAAACUUCUUGGGGUAACCGAGGAUCCAUCUCACCUAGUGAUUCAAAAACUGAAGGUUCUGGUUAUAAGGUGAUUUCUAAAAUGACAGAACCUGAUAAACAUCCAGCACAAUUCGUCGUUAUCACAGAUUGGGACAAAGUUCAUGGAACAUGGUAUCCUGCCAGAUGCUCUCAGACGAAACCAUCAAACCAAGACGAAUACCUACAUAUAUCGAUGAGGUCCAAACCGGAGUACUUCAAGCAGUGACAGGGAAUAUGUUACUGACAUCUAUUUUAGUGGUCACUACAUCAUCGGGAAGAAUAUCUUCAAAAUAGAAUCGAAAUUCCAGGUCAACGGAUCUUGUACUCGUAUCUUGUACUACGUAGAUCUUGUACUCGGGUAGUCAAGCAUUAAAAAUCUUAAGCAGCUAUUAGAAUUGACAAAUUGGCCAGAAUGUGUUUUUGUGAUAUGGAUAUAUUUAUAUAUUUUUUAUUACCGUACGGGUUUGCGUUGAAGGUCUCAAAUUAACAAAAUUCCAAUAAAGCAUAGCUUUGAU